Long non-coding RNA from Mus musculus (house mouse), 3471 nucleotides. RefSeq annotates it as predicted gene, 30936. The transcript is spliced from 3 exons. NCBI's taxonomy places the organism in Eukaryota, Metazoa, Chordata, Mammalia, Rodentia, Muridae. The record is from RefSeq and is a predicted model, not a curated record.
GCUUAAGAGAAAAACAGUGCAACUUAGUUGAAAAUUCUAGCAGCUGGUAUUUGCCUUUCAAUUUGGAGAUGGACUACAAAUAGUUUAAGAAAGGAAAGAGCAUGCCCAAGAGUACAAGUGAGCCAGUGAGCUGAGGGACUAGUCCUCAUAGCAUGGGCCGUGCAUCACUCAGACAUCCCUCCCCUCCCUCACUGGCUUGCUGCCUUACAGCCCCACCUCAGCCCCGCCUCUGCCCCGCCUCUGCUGUUUAUAUUCCCCAUGCUGUGUUUGCUGCAGGCUUUAUCCCAUGCUGCCUGUCGGUCCUCCUCUGCAACUGGCUACUUUCCGAUGUUAAUCUUGCUUUAGCUUUUUCAGUUUCUACUCUCCUGUCUCACUGAAAGAAGAAAAAGGCCGAAGUGCUGGCGCCAACAAGAAGCAGUGGGAAGUUGUCUCCAGGAAGCAGAUUCUGCACAGUUUUGACAACUUUUCAUACUCCCUUGUAAGAGAGAAACUACAGUAGAGCUAAUGAUCUUGUCAGUGAUGAACAGGGCCACACCUUGACCUGGACUCCUCAACUCUGCCCGCCUCUUGCUUCCUAUUUUUGUUGUGGAGUUCUCGUGUAGAGAGAUGGGACAUGCAGCCUUUCUGCCAGGAAACAGCAUUAUCCGUGGUGGCAAGGCGGCAGAGGUUCACAGGAUUCACAUCCAAAGGCUGAGCACAGCAGGGCGUGCAUCCUUGCAUAGCCUUCCUGAAUUUCCCUUUACAUUUUAGUCUUUUUGUAUCCUUUCUAUGGUAACAUACGUUCUGACUCAGAUCUUUGUCACAGUGUAGAUAUUAAUUAUGGCAGUCGCCCUCCUUUUGUUUCUAGAAAGGCCCUUAUCACAUUUGACAGGGACCUGGAGAAGGCCUGGAGGUAGAACACUGGACCUUUUCCUUUGCAACUUUUAUCAAUAUGGCCACUUGGAACCAAUCUUAAUUUUCACUAUUACCUGUCUCUUGAAUUCAUCUUUUGAGGACAGACACCCAGCACAGCUUGGUACAGCUGCCAGAGCCUGCAUGCAGUCUGACUACUGGUAAUAAUUUUUGGCCAAGUUGGGACCAGAAGAAAACACCCAUUUGGGGUGUCAGCCACUAGCCAGAAGUUGGCCCAGAAUGGAGGAGAGCGACUGAGUGACCCAGAUAAUUUCUGAAGUCAUUUUACUUCAGGAACUUCUUCCUCCCACUCCAACCAGAGUCAUCUGGUUUUUACCUCAAUUUGAUGAAACAGAAAAAUGAGUAGUUGAACUUUGUUUUUGCACUCCUAAGAAACUGACUCUAGAGUUUUUCUGAGCCACCGAACUUUUGUUGAACCUUCUAGGCUAUUGCAUCAUUUCUAGGUCAGGCCUUGACAAUGUGGAAGAUGCAGAUUAUCUGCUUGCAUACCAAGCCUGGAGGCCAUCAACAUCACCAGUUGCAAGAGGAGGCUCAGCAAGGGCUCAUCCUGUGUCCCGGGCAGACAGAUUCAGCAUUGCCUCUUAAUGGAAUUCUAAUCUCAAGACUCUGGCCUCCGUUCUUUUUGUUCUCAUGUUGGCUACCUUCUGCAGAUUUGUAAAGUUGCCCAGAGCUGUGCAUUCAUGCCCUAGGCGUUUAAUAAAUGGAAAGUUUCUCCCUGUUCCCUCUCCUAGAUCAUGUUCAGAAAAGCAUUAGGGUUGCUUCCUACACCUGGACUCAUCUCUGCCCUUGUCAGUCCACCCUCUAGGCCUCCACUGUUAGAAACAGGGUCAUCUCAGCAUAGGAUGCAACUGAGAAAUGGUUGAGCUAUGAAAUUCAAGCUUGUUUCAUCCAGAUCCAGCAAUGCACACACACACACACACACACACACACACACACACACACACGCACACAACUGCUAUCUAGACAGUGGCACAUGAGCUAUUGGGUGGCUGGUAUAAGUGCCUCAGUGAACACGGGUCUAGGUUCGCUAGUAUCAAUUGGUACCCUGGUUUCAAGGUCAAAUAAAGCACAUUGAAUUAGUGUGGUAUUUGGAAUCUUGGUAUAGUGUAAUAUGUUACUCCAAGAGCCAUUUUGAUCACAAGCACAUGGUGUCCAUGGGCCUGUGGGACACCUGCCUGGGCUCCACUCAGUAUGUCAUCUGAAUUACAGGACCACCAUGAUCAGCUCUGGUGAUUGCACUUCCCAUCUCUCCUCCACUGUGAUCUUGUUAGAAUAGAAAUAAAGGUCCAUCCUAGUUCGGCAGGUCAAUCACCUGGCUAAAGACCACAUGGAGGGAGGUCAUGCUAAAGAGGUAGGCAGAAUACUCAUUUCUUUAAUGGGACAGUUUACUUUUCCUUCCCAUAACCCCUGCCCCUAGCGGAGCAGCUUGCUGGGCUGCAGCCAUACGGCUUUGUAAGUCUGUGAACUUUUCUAAACUAUUCAGGAAAGUACAACUUAUCUUUAUCUUCCUCCUAUUUCUCAUCUAAGCAUUAUUUUGCUAAUGCUCUGGGCUGCCCCAACAUUUGGGGCUUCCUUGCUCUUUUUCUAAAACUCCCCUCUCUGUCCACACUGUGUCUGACCUUCAUGCUGGCGUGAACAGUGUGGCUUGGAGCCCUUCUCCCUCCAUUCUUUCCCCUGGGCAGUUGCUGAAACCUACAGCUUGCCUAUCCUGGGGGUUUCCUUUUAAGCCUCUAUAAAAAUUCACCACCUACUUCCAUUUCUGUCCAUUCUUAAGUUCUCUACUAAUAGACUAAGAAUCCCAAGAAAGAGUUCCAGUUUCCCCUGUGUCUGCUGGUGACCACAAAAAGACUCUGAGAUCCUGCUAAUAAUUGGUAUAAGCAUGAAAAGCCUGCUUGGACUCUGUUGGUGAUCUCCAGUGAGAGUCCUAGCUAACCAGCCAGAAACGGCCUCUCUCUGUAAACCUUCAACUGCCUCUAGAGGCUGACAGGGUAAAAUCUCAUCUGCCCCCAGAGGCACUGAAGACAGCAUGGUUGCAAACCUCUGGACACUUCACAUUUUGUUAAUAACCUUAGUUAUUAAUAACUAAUUUAUAUCAGUUCACUUUUUAGUCAGCUUUUGCUGAGGUAAAGUCCUCUGUAAUCAGUUUUUCUUCAGUCUCAAAUUCUACAGUUAAACCCUCUAUACUUGGGGGGGUUAAUAUUGUUUUUUUGUUUUGUUUCCUGUUGGGGGGGUCACAAGGGUCCAGGCGGACACAAAAAAGUAGUGGGAGGUGGGUGUGAUCAGGGUAUAUGAUGUGAAAUUCCCAAAGAAUCAAUAAAAAAAAUAUGUUGAAAAGAAGGAAGAGAAAAACCAUAAGCAACAGCUCCUGUAAUCAAUGCAGUCCAAACGCUGUCCCGCAAACAGACAGACACUCACACAGACACACAGACACACAGACACAUACACACUCAGACAUGACCAGUGUAAUUUUGGUGCAUUUAUAAUAAGCUCAUGAAUAAGAUGCAGAGGUCCUGAGUUCAAAUCCCAGCCACCACAGGGUGGCUCACAACCAUCUGUAAU